GACAGAGGGGGCAAGCGUUGCUCGGAAUCACUGGGCGUAAAGGGCGCGUAGGCGGGAUGGCAAGUCAGUCGUGAAAUCUCUCGGCUCAACCGAGAAACGUCGGCUGAUACUGCCGUUCUUGAGGGAUGCAGAGGAGACUGGAAUUCCUGGUGUAGCGGUGAAAUGCGCAGAUAUCAGGAGGAACACCGGUGGCGAAGGCGGUUCUCUGGGCAUUACCUGACGCUGAGGAGCGAAAGCAUGGGGAGCGAACAGG
RNAcentral lists this ribosomal RNA (253 nucleotides) under uncultured bacterium. RNAcentral describes it as "partial 16S ribosomal RNA". It matches the Rfam family "Bacterial small subunit ribosomal RNA", at positions 524 to 776 of the family's 1533-position model. The record is from RNAcentral.